CUAAGAAUCUUCCGCAAUGGGCGAAAGCCUGACGGAGCGACGCCGCGUGGGUGAAGAAGGCCGAGAGGUUGUAAAGCCCUUUUCUGCAUGAGGAAUAAGCGUGGGAGGGAAUGCCCGCGUGAUGACGGUAGUGCAGGAAUAAGCCCCGGCCAAUUACGUGCCAGCAGCCGCGGUAACACGUAUGGGGCGAGCGUUGUUCGGAAUCAUUGGGCGUAAAGGGCGCGCAGGCGGCUGCGCAAGCCUGGUGUGAAAGACCGCAGCUUAACUGCGGGCACGCGCUGGGAACUGUGUGGCUUGAGUUCCGGAGGGGAAGCUGGAAUUCCUGGUGUAGGGGUGAAAUCUGUAGAUAUCAGGAAGAACAUCAGCGGCGAAGGCGAGCUUCUGGCCGUGAACUGACGCUGAGGCGCGAAAGCGUGGGGAGCGAACA
RNAcentral lists this ribosomal RNA (427 nucleotides) under uncultured bacterium. Its description in RNAcentral is "bacterial SSU rRNA". It matches the Rfam family "Bacterial small subunit ribosomal RNA", at positions 355 to 774 of the family's 1533-position model. The record is from RNAcentral.